Molecule: RNA transcript, 3970 nt
Organism: Hylaeus anthracinus
Lineage: Eukaryota; Metazoa; Arthropoda; Insecta; Hymenoptera; Colletidae
Gene: PIG-V
Gene name: GPI mannosyltransferase 2
Exons: 3
Source: RefSeq, a predicted model, not a curated record
GCACUAUAUUAUUUCUACAAGUCAAAUUUAUCAUUUUUAUAUUUUCACGAUAAACUUGGGCGUUUUCCCACCGAUGGCGCCAUUUUUAGUAUGCUUCAGUUGGCUUCAGUCAUCAGCUGUUAUCAGGAAGUGAUCUUGUGAUUGUUAUAUUUGUGAGCGAAACAUUUAUAAUUUCACCCGCAUUACAUGUACAUUUCCAUUCAUAAGAGUUUCAGGAGUUGGAGAAACGCAAGGAAAACAGUGAAAGCCGACGAUUCCCUCGAAGGGGAAUAGGACAAGCCGAGAGCGAAACAAGAAGACGUGGAAGAGGAAUGGGAUCGUCCGAGAAAUAGGACGCGUUCCGUAUAAUGUCGGCGCGAUAAAAAGUAUAAUGAGAGGGGGAUCCCGUCGCUAUUCCUCAGGAUCGGCUAGUCGACGACGCAAAGGUUUCAAUGGCGCCGUCGCGAAGAUGGGAAAUAAUAUGCAAUUAGGGCAUCGGCGAACGAGUGACGAAGAGGGUCGAUUAACAUCAAACACAGCCGGCGCGAUAGUCGGUGCGACACAUAUGCCAGUAGGACACCGCCACGAUUGGAUCUAGCGAGUCUCGGAGUCGAGUCCCAGGUAAAGCAGUAUACGGGUCGUAAUUAAAGGACUGAUCUAUCGAUCCUUUCGGAUCUGUCGACAUGCGAGACGGCUACCUGUGCCAGACGGAGCACGUACACUCGGAUGGACACGCACACGCGCUCAUGCGCGCGUUACGUGCGCGCUGCUGUGUACACGGUAGCCAUAUAUGGUGCAGAGACGCUAGUGGUCAGUCCGGCGUAUGGUGAUGGUAAAGCGGUACCACCAUCUUUAUCUCGGUCACGGCGACUCCGUGAAAGUGAGAGCCGUUUCUCCCCGAUGCUUCGAGUACCUGCACGUACGCAUUAUCCAGACAAUUCCCCUUCGUUUGCGUGAGCUCUCUCUUUCCCUUCCUUUAUCUUAUUUUUUUUUUCGCGGGCGUCCCGCAUCUGGGUCGCUUGGCACGCUCGUGGAUUUCGAGCCGAGAAAGAAAGGGAGUCGUUUUCGAUUUUGUCGGCUCUGCUCGAUAACUCCCUAACGAGUUUUGAUCGAAAUACUUUUCUAUUUUCACUUAUUUAAUAUUUUUAAUUCGUAGCAAUUAAACGAAAAUCUUAAAACAAUAUAUUAAUUUCAGCAUACUGAGGUGGGUUAAAAAUUAUCCUGCAUGUAAAGCUAAGCAAAAGGUGGGGCAGUUUAAACCCAGAUGACCCUAAAGGGUUAAGGGUUAAUUAUCGAAGAUACGCUUAAGAGGCGUCUGACACGAGGGACUUAUACUACUGCUGGCGCGCGGACAUCGGUUGACGCACGAUACAGGGAUCACUGCUCGCGCGUUGGCAGUAGUAUAAGACGUCAGACGUCAGACGUCUCGUACGCGCAUUUCCAACGAUUAAUUAUUCCAAUCGAAAACCUGGAACGCUAACUAUAUAUGAAAACGAAAGUGAUGUAUACAUAGAAAAUUCUAUAAUAUUAAAUUCUAUAAUAUUUAAUAACAAGUGCACGUGUCUAUUUAUAACUGUAUAAAUAUGAUAACUUAAUAAUCGAAUUGUACCUUUCGGGUCCGUAUCGAUGAAAAUAAUACGACACUGAGAGGAAUGCAAUCCAAAAAAAGUAACAGUUUCUAAGAAUGCACGAUAGGCCUGAUUAAUAACUUCCUACAUAUUGGAUCAUCCCGAGUAACUCUCCCCUCGCUCUCCUCGCCCAUUAAAGACCAGUCAGGGUAAAACGUUGAAACAGGGAACGCUCGUCCAUCGCGUGUAAAUCGGAAUCGAUCACCCCGUCAGUGAUAUUUUCCUCUUUAGCGUCACGUUAAUUUUCAAACGUGUCUCGGGCGUGGAGUCAUCGAUAUCGCUGUAGUCGCGCGUACACGCAUGUCCGCGGUGUCCGUUUUCUCUAUUUUUCUCGUGUGCUAUCUCCUGGCUUCCAUGUAUCUUCCCGUUCCGUCGUGCCAACUUGACGUACGCGUACGAGCGUCAUCGUUGCGUGGAACGCGUCGCGUGUGUCGCGGAUUGCCGCGCCUGUCGCUGUAUCAUCGUACACCAGACGUGAAAUAUACGCAGAAAAUGUUCAUCGAUCGAUCUUAAUGAUCCAUAAGAACGUAAACGCAAAGAGAGAAGAACGCCGGCGACGAGGAACGGGCUCGGAUCAUCCGUAAACGAUUCUGACAAAAGGAAAUACGAGGGGGACGUCGUCGAUCAUUUCCCCGCGACGUACCCCGGAUCGGUUCGGUACGCGGGCCGAGCAGAUUUAUCACAGAUUAACGCGUAAUGCCGCGAUUACGAUUAUAAAUGGCUCGUCGUGCGCGACGUGUUAAGUGCCUCGCUAUCUGCGAUGGAGAAUUUUUGGUACGUAAUGAAUUGUGCAUUCUUGGCGAUCCAGGAAUCUUUAGAAAGCUCUGGAUUUUGUUGAUGUUCUGAUUUUUUUGAGGAAGAAGUUUACGGAUUAUUUUGGAGGGAGUUUCUUUUAAAUAUGAAGAGGAAAUUAUGAUGAGACGCUAUUAAUCAAACUUUUAAAUUAAAAACAAAUUACUAAAUGUUGGUAGUGUGAAUGUGUACACAAACAAAUAAUAAUUAGGAGUGGACCACGAGGUAGAGAGGCUUGAGAACCCCUGCAUCGAACGUUAGAUCGGUCCUAGAAUUAGAGAAUCGCCGACAACUGAUAGCGUACGCGCGGAGUGUUUCUCGGAAAUCAUCGUGGUUGUUUUUUGCUCCCCCCAGCCGGCCCUUCUUCCACGGAAUUAUUAAUUCUCCGCCAUUAUCUGAUUACGAUCGUCCAAUUAAAGUACAGUCGGAUGCGCGAUGCCGCGAGGUUCGGUCAGUAAUUCGACGUCGGCCCGCGAAGAGGGAUCGCGAUCUACUCGCUGACUAUUAGCUUCGAAACUCGUUGCAGGACGUGUCGAUGCGUCCUCGACUUCCACUCGUGUUCCUCCUCUUUCCUUCCUUUCGUCUUCUUUAUCCGUUUUACCGACAUCGCGCAGCCUCUGUCGCUCAACCUCCAAGAUCCUUCUCGAUUAUAUCCAUAUUUUCUAACGAUGAUACAACGAUUGGGAAUUCGAAUUCAGAGGUACCAGGACCAGGAGGUCUCAGACGAUCCUGAGGUUUCAGAAUUAGUUCUUAGGUAUACAUGAUAAUAACUAAUUCUUUAAGGAUUUCGAGGAACGGUGCGAUUAUUUCCUAUCCGACGAUAACGCGCUCGCGUGACAUUGCAUACAAUAGAGGGGACCUCUUUCCAUCUCCGUCGAUGAAGCAUGCGUCACCUCCACGGAUUAUAAAUCUGCUUAAAGCGACGCGAUUCGCUCGGUCCGCGCCGCGAACAAGCGAGCGAGCGAACGAACGACUUAAAACAUCCUUUUUCUCGCUCCGGAUAAGGGGCCAGUUUAUAUGCCUAGGCGUGGUACAUCCGACCGAUGUAACUCACCAUGCUGGCGACAACAAAUCCUCUGAAACUCGCAUUGUUCGUUGUGUCGCUCUCCAGAGACGUACAGGGUGAGCUGAAACUCUUGACACGGUGGAACGGAUGUUCCUACUUGGAUAGGACAUGCGAGGGUUCUGGAUAAUUGGUGCUUCGGGUGACCAGGGAAUUUGGAUAUUUCAGGUGAAUUGAUAGGAGAUAGUCAUAUUUUGCUUGAAGCUGUAGGUAUUCCAAGUUUCAAUCAGAUCAGGCUUCAUCUUAGAUAUUAUUCUUAGGAGCGUUCAAUUUAAAGUUUCUUCUUUCAAACACCCUUGAACCGAGAUCCUGAGAUACCUGGAAUAACUGUCCGAAGCUAUUAACCUGUACGCCUUAUUCAAAGCUACGAAGAGAUGCAACAGGAAAGUGUGUUAUUUAAAAAAGAUUUUAAUUCAGUAAAGGAACAAUCGAUAUACACAGUCGUUAAACCACUGGUCGUGGAUGAAUUAUCGAUAGGGAAGUUAUAAUGGGAAAGUUGACUUUGACU